UAUUGCGAAGGCGAUNUGCUGGAACUUAACUGACGCUAAUGCGUGAAAGCGUGGGGAGCAAACAGGAUUAGAUACCCUGGUAGUNCACGCCCUAAACGAUGUAUACCGGUUGUUGCUGUGCUAGUCACGNCAGUAAUCCACCUAACGGAUUAAGUAUACCGCCUGGGGAGUACGGUCGCAAGAUUAAAACUCAAAGGAAUAGACGGGGACCCGCACAAGCGGUGGAGCAUGUGGUUUAAUUCGAAGAUACGCGAAGAACCUUACCCGGACUUGAUAUCUAACAAAUCAUCCAGAGAUGGAAGAGUGUCUGCUUGCAGAAAUGUUAAGACAGGUGCUGCGCGGCUGUCGUCAGCUCGUGUCGUGAGAUGUGGGGUUAAGUCCCGCAACGAGCGCAACCCACGUCAUUAGUUGCUAACGGUUCGGCCGAGCACUCUAAUGAGACUGCCUUCGUAAGGAGGAGGAAGGUGUGGACGACGUCAAGUCAUCAUGGCCCUUAUGUCCGGGGCGACACACGUGCUACAAUGGCAUAUACAAUAAGACGCAAUAUCGUAAGAUGGAGCAAAUCUAAAAAAUAUGUCCCAGUUCGGAUUGGAGUCUGCAACUCGACUCCAUGAAGCCGGAAUCGCUAGUAAUCGUAGAUCAGCCAUGCUACGGUGAAUACGUUCCCGGGUCUUGUACUCACCGCCCGUCACACCAUGGGAGUUGAUUUCACUCGAAG
RNAcentral lists this ribosomal RNA (718 nucleotides) under uncultured bacterium. RNAcentral describes it as "bacterial SSU rRNA". It matches the Rfam family "Bacterial small subunit ribosomal RNA", at positions 708 to 1426 of the family's 1533-position model. The record is from RNAcentral.